UCACAGUCGUGCGAAAUCAACUGUGUGCUCACCAGGGUCGUGCUCAUAAAGACCGGUUUGACUCUAAACUCGCAGUGUACAACAUUCAAGAAUAAUUUUGAGCCAGCAAAAGCUGACAGAAGGCACGAUGGGACAUCGACAAUUGUGUUUGACUGCUUGGACCAUCGCAGUAGGUGUGAUCACAGGUGCUCUGUCAGGUUCAGAUUGCCAGUGUACUGGUAGUACCAGGCCUGCACAACUUUUCGGAAAUACGAAUAAAACUCACAUCGAUUUUCAUUUUCUCCCAAGCAACACCAGCGACACCACCUGUCAGUGGAUCAUCAGCUCUCAGACCAUUGCCAGACUGCAA
Pomacea canaliculata is the source of this 349-nucleotide long non-coding RNA. RefSeq lists it as uncharacterized. The record is from RefSeq and is a predicted model, not a curated record. Lineage: Eukaryota; Metazoa; Mollusca; Gastropoda; Architaenioglossa; Ampullariidae. The transcript is spliced from 3 exons.